This 758-nucleotide ribosomal RNA is filed under the name Escherichia coli. RNAcentral's name for it is "partial 23S ribosomal RNA". It matches the Rfam family "Bacterial large subunit ribosomal RNA", at positions 418 to 1176 of the family's 2925-position model. Lineage: Bacteria; Pseudomonadati; Pseudomonadota; Gammaproteobacteria; Enterobacterales; Enterobacteriaceae. The record is from RNAcentral.
CGGGACACGUGGUAUCCUGUCUGAAUAUGGGGGGACCAUCCUCCAAGGCUAAAUACUCCUGACUGACCGAUAGUGAACCAGUACCGUGAGGGAAAGGCGAAAAGAACCCCGGCGAGGGGAGUGAAAAAGAACCUGAAACCGUGUACGUACAAGCAGUGGGAGCACGCUUAGGCGUGUGACUGCGUACCUUUUGUAUAAUGGGUCAGCGACUUAUAUUCUGUAGCAAGGUUAACCGAAUAGGGGAGCCGAAGGGAAACCGAGUCUUAACUGGGCGUUAAGUUGCAGGGUAUAGACCCGAAACCCGGUGAUCUAGCCAUGGGCAGGUUGAAGGUUGGGUAACACUAACUGGAGGACCGAACCGACUAAUGUUGAAAAAUUAGCGGAUGACUUGUGGCUGGGGGUGAAAGGCCAAUCAAACCGGGAGAUAGCUGGUUCUCCCCGAAAGCUAUUUAGGUAGCGCCUCGUGAAUUCAUCUCCGGGGGUAGAGCACUGUUUCGGCAAGGGGGUCAUCCCGACUUACCAACCCGAUGCAAACUGCGAAUACCGGAGAAUGUUAUCACGGGAGACACACGGCGGGUGCUAACGUCCGUCGUGAAGAGGGAAACAACCCAGACCGCCAGCUAAGGUCCCAAAGUCAUGGUUAAGUGGGAAACGAUGUGGGAAGGCCCAGACAGCCAGGAUGUUGGCUUAGAAGCAGCCAUCAUUUAAAGAAAGCGUAAUAGCUCACUGGUCGAGUCGGCCUGCGCGGAAGAUGUAAC